This 336-nucleotide ribosomal RNA is filed under the name uncultured bacterium. Its description in RNAcentral is "partial 16S ribosomal RNA". It matches the Rfam family "Bacterial small subunit ribosomal RNA", at positions 338 to 691 of the family's 1533-position model. The record is from RNAcentral.
CCUACGGGAGGCUGCAGUAGGGAAUAUUGCUCAAUGGGGGAAACCCUGAAGCAGCAACGCCGCGUGGAGGAUGAAGGUUCUCGGAUUGUAAACUCCUUUUGUUAGGGAAGAUAAUGACGGUAUCUAACGAAUAAGCAACGGCUAACUCCGUGCCAGCAGCCGCGGUAAUGCGGAGGGUGCAAGCGUUAAUCGGAUUCACUGGGGGGAAAGCGCGCGUAGGCGGGCUAGCAAGUCAGGUGUGAAAACCUAUGGGUUAACCAUAGGACUGCAUUUUAAACUGGUAUGCUAGAGUAUGAGAGGGGUAGGUGGAAUUCUUGGUGUAGGGGUAAAAUCCGU